GACGAACGCUGGCGGCGUGCUUAACACAUGCAAGUCGAACGGAAAGGCCCUGCUUUUGUGGGGUGCUCGAGUGGCGAACGGGUGAGUAACACGUGAGUAACCUGCCCUUGACUUUGGGAUAACUUCAGGAAACUGGGGCUAAUACCGGAUAGGAGCUCCUGCUGCAUGGUGGGGGUUGGAAAGUUUCGGCGGUUGGGGAUGGACUCGCGGCUUAUCAGCUUGUUGGUGGGGUAGUGGCUUACCAAGGCUUUGACGGGUAGCCGGCCUGAGAGGGUGACCGGCCACAUUGGGACUGAGAUACGGCCCAGACUCCUACGGGAGGCAGCAGUGGGGAAUAUUGCACAAUGGGCGGAAGCCUGAUGCAGCAACGCCGCGUGCGGGAUGACGGCCUGCGGGUUGUAAACCGCUUUCGCCUGUGACGAAGCGUGAGUGACGGUAAUGGGUAAAGAAGCACCGGCUAACUACGUA
RNAcentral lists this ribosomal RNA (468 nucleotides) under uncultured bacterium. RNAcentral's name for it is "partial 16S ribosomal RNA". It matches the Rfam family "Bacterial small subunit ribosomal RNA", at positions 28 to 507 of the family's 1533-position model. The record is from RNAcentral.